GACGAACGCUGGCGGCGUGCUUAACACAUGCAAGUCGAACGGAAAGGCCCUGCUUUUGUGGGGUGCUCGAGUGGCGAACGGGUGAGUAACACGUGAGUAACCUGCCCUUGACUUUGGGAUAACUUCAGGAAACUGGGGCUAAUACCGGAUAGGAGCUCCUGCUGCAUGGUGGGGGUUGGAAAGUUUCGGCGGUUGGGGAUGGACUCGCGGCUUAUCAGCUUGUUGGUGGGGUAGUGGCUUACCAAGGCUUUGACGGGUAGCCGGCCUGAGAGGGUGACCGGCCACAUUGGGACUGAGAUACGGCCCAGACGCCUACGGGAGGCAGCAGUGGGGAAUAUUGCACAAUGGGCGGAAGCCUGAUGCAGCAACGCCGCGUGCGGGAGGACGGCCUUCGGGUUGUAAACCGCUUUCGCCUGUGACGAAGCGUGAGUGACGGUAAUGGGGAAAGAAGCACCGGCUAACUACGU
RNAcentral lists this ribosomal RNA (467 nucleotides) under uncultured bacterium. Its description in RNAcentral is "partial 16S ribosomal RNA". It matches the Rfam family "Bacterial small subunit ribosomal RNA", at positions 28 to 506 of the family's 1533-position model. The record is from RNAcentral.